RNAcentral lists this ribosomal RNA (547 nucleotides) under uncultured bacterium. RNAcentral's name for it is "bacterial SSU rRNA". It matches the Rfam family "Bacterial small subunit ribosomal RNA", at positions 355 to 896 of the family's 1533-position model. The record is from RNAcentral.
UGGGGAAUAUUGCGCAAUGGGGGGAACCCUGACGCAGCCAUGCCGCGUGAAUGAAGAAGGCCUUAGGGUUGUAAAGUUCUUUCGGUAUUGAGGAAGGUUGAUGUGUUAAUAGCACAUCAAAUUGACGUUAAAUACAGAAGAAGCACCGGCUAACUCCGUGCCAGCAGCCGCGGUAAUACGGAGGGUGCGAGCGUUAAUCGGAAUAACUGGGCGUAAAGGGCACGCAGGCGGUUAUUUAAGUGAGGUGUGAAAGCCCCGGGCUUAACCUGGGAAUUGCAUUUCAGACUGGGUAACUAGAGUACUUUAGGGAGGGGUAGAAUUCCACGUGUAGCGGUGAAAUGCGUAGAGAUGUGGAGGAAUACCGAAGGCGAAGGCAGCUCCUUGGGAAUGUACUGACGCUCAUGUGCGAAAGCGUGGGGAGCAAACAGGAUUAGAUACCCUGGUAGUCCACGCUGUAAACGCUGUCGAUUUGGGGGUUGGGGUUUAACUCUGGCGCCCGUAGCUAACGUGAUAAAUCGACCGCCUGGGGAGUACGGCCGCAAGGUUA